Malus domestica (apple) is the source of this 391-nucleotide non-coding RNA. The record is from RefSeq and is a predicted model, not a curated record. Lineage: Eukaryota; Viridiplantae; Streptophyta; Magnoliopsida; Rosales; Rosaceae.
CUCACCUCACCCUCACUCGGUCACUCUCUCUCAUGACCUCACUUCCUCACCCUCCUUGCUGAUUUCUCUCGAUCUCUCUCCUCCUUAUUUGCCGUCUUCGAAUCCGGCCACACCCACAUCACACAAGUGGAUCACCUCUCUCUGGACUGACCUAUCACCUCUCUGAUCUCUCUCUCUCUCUCUCAACUUCUCAUCCCUCACUGUGCACCGAUUCUCGAUCAAAUCAGUAAAUGGAAAACCAGAAAGUAAAAAAAGCAUGUUUUGAUGCUUUUUGCCUUCAAAUUUUGGGGCUUUGUAAGGACCUCUCCUAGAAGGUUUCAUCCUUUGGAAUUCUACUUUGGUGGUUUUAGGGUUUUCUCUCUCUCUCUCUCUCUCUCUCUCUCUCUCUCUC